RNAcentral lists this transfer RNA (88 nucleotides) under Candidatus Lernaella stagnicola. RNAcentral's name for it is "tRNA-Ser". It matches the Rfam family "tRNA". From Rfam's summary of the family: Transfer RNA (tRNA) molecules are approximately 80 nucleotides in length. Their secondary structure includes four short double-helical elements and three loops (D, anti-codon, and T loops). Further hydrogen bonds mediate the characteristic L-shaped molecular structure. tRNAs have two regions of fundamental functional importance: the anti-codon, which is responsible for specific mRNA codon recognition, and the 3' end, to which the tRNAs corresponding amino acid is attached (by aminoacyl-tRNA synthetases). tRNAs cope with the degeneracy of the genetic code in two manners: having more than one tRNA (with a specific anti-codon) for a particular amino acid; and 'wobble' base-pairing, i.e. permitting non-standard base-pairing at the 3rd anti-codon position. Lineage: Bacteria; Candidatus Lernaellota; Candidatus Lernaellaia; Candidatus Lernaellales; Candidatus Lernaellaceae. The record is from RNAcentral.
GGAGAGAUGGCAGAGUUGGUCGAUUGCGCCUGACUCGAAAUCAGGUGUACCCGUAAGGGUACCGGGGGUUCGAAUCCCUCUCUCUCCG